GGACGGUUAGCUCAGUGGUAGAGCAUCGCCUUCACACGGCGGGGGUCGCAGGUUCAAAUCCUGUACUGUCCACCA
RNAcentral lists this transfer RNA (75 nucleotides) under Stenotrophobium rhamnosiphilum. RNAcentral describes it as "Sinobacteraceae bacterium GT1R17 tRNA-Val". It matches the Rfam family "tRNA". From Rfam's summary of the family: Transfer RNA (tRNA) molecules are approximately 80 nucleotides in length. The record is from RNAcentral. Lineage: Bacteria; Pseudomonadati; Pseudomonadota; Gammaproteobacteria; Nevskiales; Nevskiaceae.